RNAcentral lists this ribosomal RNA (512 nucleotides) under uncultured bacterium. Its description in RNAcentral is "partial 16S ribosomal RNA". It matches the Rfam family "Bacterial small subunit ribosomal RNA", at positions 28 to 523 of the family's 1533-position model. The record is from RNAcentral.
GACGAACGCUGGCGGCGUGCCUAAUACAUGCAAGUCGAGCGAAUCAAUAGGAGCUUGCUCCUGUUGGUUAGCGGCGGACGGGUGAGUAACACGUGGGCAACCUGCCUGUAAGACUGGGAUAACACCGGGAAACCGGUGCUAAUACCGGAUAAUCCUUUUCCUCUCAUGAGGAAAAGUUGAAAGUCGGUUUCGGCUGACACUUACAUAUGGGCCCGCGGCGCAUUAGCUAGUUGGUGAGGUAACGGCUCACCAAGGCGACGAUGCGUAGCCGACCUGAGAGGGUGAUCGGCCACACUGGGACUGAGACACGGCCCAGACUCCUACGGGAGGCAGCAGUAGGGAAUCUUCCACAAUGGACGAAAGUCUGAUGGAGCAACGCCGCGUGAGCGAUGAAGGCCUUCGGGUCGUAAAGCUCUGUUGUUAGGGAAGAACAAGUAUCGGAGUAACUGCCGGUACCUUGACGGUACCUAACCAGAAAGCCACGGCUAACUACGUGCCAGCAGCCGCCGUAA